Molecule: ribosomal RNA, 253 nt
Filed under: uncultured bacterium
Lineage: Bacteria
Description: partial 16S ribosomal RNA
Rfam family: Bacterial small subunit ribosomal RNA
Source: RNAcentral
UCCGUAGGGGGCAAGCGUUGUCCGGAUUUAUUGGGCGUAAAGAGCGUGUAGGCGGUUAGGUAGGUCCGUUGUGAAAACUCGAGGCUCAACCUCGAGACGCCGAUGGAAACCAUCUAACUAGAGUCCGGAAGAGGAGAAUGGAAUUCCCGGUGUAGCGGUGAAAUGCGCAGAUAUCAGGAAGAACACCCGUGGCUAAGGCGGUUCUCUAGUACGGUACUAACGCUGAGACGCGAAAGCGUGGGGAGCGAACAGG